GCUCUGCUCAACCCUGAGUUACCUUAUGGCUCCUCGGUGUCUCUGUAACCGCGGAGUUUAUUCCCUGGCACAGGUAAACUGGGAAGCAGACUCUUGAGUUCACAGCUGGCCUGUGGGUUUUGCAUCUCGUUAAGGAGCACCUCGUCAUACAGUAUGACCGAUGAGACUGGGUCAUCUACAUUAAAAGUGACUCAUUAAGGUGCCCCAGUGGACAGUCUCAGGUGAACCCACCCUUCCAGCCAUCCCCACUGACAUGUGAACGAAGCCGUCUUGGAUCCUCCACCUAAUAAAUGCCACCUGAUGACCUCUGCCAUUGCCACAUGGAACAGAAGCAUCACCCAGCUGCUCCUUGCCCAAUUCCUGACCGAGGUGGAGCUAGAAAGUAGGUUCUGUCUCCUUACAAUGAGUGGGCUUUACGCAGAGGCCCAGAUGCUCGGACUGUGGGUAAGAAGGAGCCAUCUCCCACCCUCCUGAGACCCAGGGAAGAUGAGAGGAGGCUCCCUAGCCAGAGAAGGUGAGUAGAGUUGUUCUUCUGGCAUUUUUCUCUUGGACCCUGCUUCCUAAGGGGCCAGCUGAAAAUGGUCCUGAUUCUUUUGCAAGUGCCCAGGCAAAAAGGCCAGUCUGCCCAGAGGCAUUGAGGGUGACAAGAUGAGAUUCGGGGCCAGGAUUGUCUAGGCAUAUUUUACCCACGAAGGCUCUUAAAACUUGGAGCUACGAACUUCAGGGUGCACUGAAAUUACCCACUGUUCUGGAGAGAUUACAGACCCUGUGAAUCAGCGCAUCUGGGUGUGUCUCAGGAAUCUGCAUUUGAACCGUCUCACGUGAAUCUGCUGUGGUGGCUCCACGUGGAACACAUGAAAUGGCGGCCAGCAGGGCAGAAUUCAAGCUCCUUCAUAGUGACCACAAGUCCUUUUGUGACAUGCACUACCACUUCCUCUUUGGACUCUUACUUAUUAUGGAGGGCAGAGGUUGGCCCCCACUCCUCUUCUGCCUCCGAUCUUCCUGCACCAUGUCACCCAAAUUCUCACCACAUUUGGUUCUAAUAAUUUGUCUGUGUGUCUGCUUUCCUCCUUAGCACCUGAGGGCAGAGGACUUUUCUUAUGUAUAUUAAAUCCUAGAAAUGCCUAGCGUUGUAUGUGGCACAUAGGAUGAAAGGCCCAGUCAAUGAAAGUUUACAUGGACUGACUGCUGGUUUUCAGAGAAAGGAGGAGUUGGAGUCAACUGAGGGGAAGAAAAAAGAAAUACCUUAGAGCUAAAUCCCAUCAUCCACUAAUGUAUCUAACAGCAUGGGCACCCAAAUCCACAUCAGUCAGCAAGCGCUAUUUCUAAGGUCUGUUCUUCAACUGUUGUAGGGUUCUCUAGGGUGCCCAAGGAAAGAACGUGUUAUUAAGUGGCAUUUGCUUAGAGUGUUGUAGGCCCCAGGGAGGAUACAGACCAGGGCUCUCUUACAAAGAUAGCUAUUUACUCCUUCCAGUCCUCCUCCCAAUAAUCCUUUAAUAGCAAUCUUCACAUCCCCAUUUUGUACCUGUUGAAACUGAGUCACAGGUCUGACAACUUUCCC
Equus asinus (donkey) is the source of this 1561-nucleotide long non-coding RNA. NCBI's taxonomy places the organism in Eukaryota, Metazoa, Chordata, Mammalia, Perissodactyla, Equidae. The record is from Ensembl.